AACGAACGCUGGCGGCAUGCCUAACACAUGCAAGUCGAACGAGACCUUCGGGUCUAGUGGCGCACGGGUGCGUAACGCGUGGGAACCUGCCCUUAGGUUCGGAAUAACUCCCCGAAAGGGGUGCUAAUACCGGAUAAUGUCUUCGGACCAAAGAUUUAUCGCCUUUGGAUGGGCCCGCGUUGGAUUAGCUAGUUGGUAGGGUAAAAGCCUACCAAGGCGACGAUCCAUAGCUGGUCUGAGAGGAUGAUCAGCCACACUGGGACUGAGACACGGCCCAGACCCCUACGGGAGGCAGCAGGGGGGAAUAUUGGACAAUGGGCGAAAGCCUGAUCCAGCAAUGCCGGGGGAGUGAUGAAGGCCUUAGGGUUGUAAAGCUCUUUUACCCGGGAUGAUAAUGACAGUACCGGGAAAAAAAGCCCCGGCUAACCCCGU
RNAcentral lists this ribosomal RNA (432 nucleotides) under uncultured bacterium. RNAcentral's name for it is "partial 16S ribosomal RNA". It matches the Rfam family "Bacterial small subunit ribosomal RNA", at positions 29 to 506 of the family's 1533-position model. The record is from RNAcentral.